UAAAAACACCAAAACACACACCUUUGUGUGUGUUCUGGUCGUACAAAACACAGGAGCCAAGAAGGGCUCUCAAGCUCAAACCCUAACAAGCAUAAAAUCAACAAAUUGAAGGGGUAAAUCCAACCUAAAUUGAAAUCCAAGCACGAAUUCAUGAUCACCUCCAUGAAGGGAUCAUAAGUUUGACUCUUGACAAGCUAGAUGGAGGCUUGGGGAAAGAAGCGGGUCAAACGGAUCGUAUACGCGGAAAAGAGCAUAAUCCGGAUACUAGGAAUAAAUAUCGAUUGAAUGUUGACAUCGCUAUUACUUAGCGGCUACUAAGGCAAGGUAUCGAAACGGGUCAAUAUAUUGAUCCGAGCCAGGUUUGUAUAAUGAUUCAACUCGUCAUGUAGAACUUGAGGUUC
Molecule: long non-coding RNA, 401 nt
Organism: Helianthus annuus (common sunflower)
Lineage: Eukaryota; Viridiplantae; Streptophyta; Magnoliopsida; Asterales; Asteraceae
Exons: 3
Source: RefSeq, a predicted model, not a curated record